GACGAACGCUGGCGGCGUGCCUAAUACAUGCAAGUCGAGCGGACUUGAUGGAGUGCUUGCACUCCUGAUGGUUAGCGGCGGACGGGUGAGUAACACGUAGGCAACCUGCCCUCAAGACUGGGAUAACUACCGGAAACGGUAGCUAAUACCGGAUAAUUUAUUUUGCAGCAUUGUGAAAUAAUGAAAGGCGGAGCAAUCUGUCACUUGAGGAUGGGCCUGCGGUGCAUUAGCUAGUUGGUGGGGUAACGGCCCACCAAGGCGACGAUGCGUAGCCGACCUGAGAGGGUGCACGGCCACACUGGGACUGAGACACGGCCCAGACUCCUACGGGAGGCAGCGGUAGGGAAUCUUCCGCAAUGGGCGAAAGCCUGACGGAGCAACGCCGCGUGAGUGAUGAAGGUUUUCGGAUCGUAAAGCUCUGUUGCCAAGGAAGAACGUCUUCUAGAGUAACUGCUAGGAGAGUGACGGUACUUGAG
This 476-nucleotide ribosomal RNA is filed under the name uncultured bacterium. RNAcentral describes it as "bacterial SSU rRNA". It matches the Rfam family "Bacterial small subunit ribosomal RNA", at positions 28 to 483 of the family's 1533-position model. The record is from RNAcentral.